UACAGGGGGGUGCAAACGUUGCUCGGAAUCAUUGGGCGUAAAGCGCACGUAGGCGGUUCGUUAUGUCGGAUGUGAAAGCCCUUGGCUUAACCGAGGAAGUGCAUCCGAAACUGGCGAGCUAGAGUACGAAAGAGGAUCGCGGAAUUCCCGGUGUAGAGGUGAAAUUCGUAGAUAUCGGGAGGAACACCGGUGGCGAAGGCGGCGACCUGGGUAGAUACUGACGCUGAGGUGCGAAAGCGUGGGGAGCAAACAGG
This 254-nucleotide ribosomal RNA is filed under the name uncultured bacterium. Its description in RNAcentral is "partial 16S ribosomal RNA". It matches the Rfam family "Bacterial small subunit ribosomal RNA", at positions 524 to 776 of the family's 1533-position model. The record is from RNAcentral.